GUGCUCCCUUUGGCAGCACAUAUCCUAUAAUUGAAAUGAUACAUAAAAGAUUAGCAUGCUCCUGUGCAAGAUGAUAUACACUCCAUAAUUCUGUAAAACCUGGAA
This 105-nucleotide small nuclear RNA is filed under the name Jaculus jaculus (lesser Egyptian jerboa). Lineage: Eukaryota; Metazoa; Chordata; Mammalia; Rodentia; Dipodidae. The record is from RNAcentral.